GAUGUCAACUAGCUGUUGGGGCCGUUAGGCCUUAGUAGCGCAGCUAACGCGUGAAGUUGACCGCCUGGGGAGUACGGUCGCAAGAUUAAAACUCAAAGGAAUUGACGGGGACCCGCACAAGCGGUGGAUGAUGUGGAUUAAUUCGAUGCAACGCGAAAAACCUUACCUACCCUUGACAUGUCUGGAAAGCCGAAGAGAUUUGGCCGUGCUCGCAAGAGAACCGGAACACAGGUGCUGCAUGGCUGUCGUCAGCUCGUGUCGUGAGAUGUUGGGUUAAGUCCCGCAACGAGCGCAACCCUUGUCAUUAGUUGCUACGCAAGAGCACUCUAAUGAGACUGCCGGUGACAAACCGGAGGAAGGUGGGGAUGACGUCAAGUCCUCAUGGCCCUUAUGGGUAGGGCUUCACACGUCAUACAAUGGUCGGGACAGAGGGUCGCCAACCCGCGAGGGGGAGCCAAUCUCAGAAACCCGAUCGUAGUCCGGAUCGCAGUCUGCAACUCGACUGCGUGAAGUCGGAAUCGCUAGUAAUCGUGAAUCAGAAUGUCACGGUGAAUACGUUCCCGGGCCUUGUACACACCGCCCGUCACACCAUGGGAGUGGGUUGCUCCAGAAGUAGCUAGUCUAACCG
RNAcentral lists this ribosomal RNA (628 nucleotides) under Alcaligenes sp. Its description in RNAcentral is "bacterial SSU rRNA". It matches the Rfam family "Bacterial small subunit ribosomal RNA", at positions 808 to 1441 of the family's 1533-position model. Lineage: Bacteria; Pseudomonadati; Pseudomonadota; Betaproteobacteria; Burkholderiales; Alcaligenaceae. The record is from RNAcentral.